AACGCACCUUGCGCUCCUUGGUAUUCCGAGGAGCAUGCCUGUUUGAGUGUCAUCAAGUCAUCAACCCCUCCCGUUUUGUGCGGAGAGAAGGUUGGAUCUGGGGGCCUGCUGCCGUCAGGCGGCUCCCCUCGAAUGUGUCGGUUGGGCCUGUGGGUCGAACUCGGUUGGGCGUUGUACCAUCCUCGCUCUAAGUCUGAGAUGUUCCUGCUCUAUUGAGCCCUUCCCAGACCGCCUCUGGAGUGGCGGUCAAGUCAAACUUUGAAAUCUGACCUCAAAUCAGGUAGGACUACCCGCUGAACUUAA
This 303-nucleotide ribosomal RNA is filed under the name uncultured fungus. RNAcentral's name for it is "eukaryotic LSU rRNA". The stretch from base 1 to 52 matches the Rfam family "5.8S ribosomal RNA", at positions 103 to 154 of the family's 154-position model. The record is from RNAcentral. Lineage: Eukaryota; Fungi.